This 232-nucleotide unclassified non-coding RNA is filed under the name Descurainia sophia. Its description in RNAcentral is "sequence contains ITS1, 5.8S rRNA gene and ITS2". The record is from RNAcentral. Lineage: Eukaryota; Viridiplantae; Streptophyta; Magnoliopsida; Brassicales; Brassicaceae.
GACUCGAUGGUUCAAGGGAUUCUGAAAUUCUCACAACUUAUCUCAAUUCCCUACCUUCUUCAUCGAUGCCAGAGCUCASAUAUCCGUUGCCAAGAGUCGUUUUAGACUUUAUAUCUGUGAAUUGCAUAAUCCCUCGCACCGUCUCCGGGGAGGCAAAAAGAUGGCCGUUCUGUUGCAUGUUCCAUGRCACUUUUGCUGGGGUGGUUUUGUGAUAUCCCCCCMCUACGCGCAC